CCUGGUGGUUAUAGCGGAGUUCCCCCACCCGAUCCCAUUCCGAACUCGGUCGUGAAACACUCCAGCGCCGAUGGUACUGCGAAAGCGGGAGAGUAGGUCGCCGCCAGGC
Molecule: ribosomal RNA, 109 nt
Filed under: Dichotomicrobium thermohalophilum
Lineage: Bacteria; Pseudomonadati; Pseudomonadota; Alphaproteobacteria; Hyphomicrobiales; Hyphomicrobiaceae
Source: RNAcentral